Molecule: long non-coding RNA, 3998 nt
Filed under: Brassica napus (rape)
Lineage: Eukaryota; Viridiplantae; Streptophyta; Magnoliopsida; Brassicales; Brassicaceae
Description: long non-coding RNA (BNAP_LNC020821)
Source: RNAcentral
AAGACUUUAUAAAGCAAAAGUUGAGGCGUUACAAUGCAAUAAACAGCAAAUUGUUAAACAAAAAGGAGUAUUUGUUGCUGUAACGAAAAAAAAAAGUGAAACUCGCCGGAAAACAAAGUAUGAACGUUUACGACGACGAGUCACUGAAGCAGGAGGUAAUCUACCUCCACUCCCUCUGGCACCAAGGCCCUCCCACCCGAAACCCGAUCCACGACCCGGUUCAGAGAUCCAGGCCCAAUUACAUCCCUCCGGCGGAUUUUCAGCUUCUCUCUCGCUACGGAGCCAACCCUAUUCACCCCCAACCUCCCCUCAGCAACAAGCGCUCCAGACCCGGGUCUGAUCGUGAAUGGCCCGUGAAGGAGCUCCCCCGUUAUCCCCCCACGGGCUGGCCCGAAGCCAAGCCGUGCAAAAAGGCUCGACCUUUAUCAGAUUCGGAGAAAAAGGAAGCGAGGGAAAAGUAUACAAGUUACAUAAGGCGCUGUACGGUCUUAAACAAGCACCACGAGCUUGGAAUGCAAAGUUAAAUAAGACACUACUUGAGCUCAAGUUCUCACGGUGCUUAAAAGAGCCGUCGGUAUAUCGCAAGACUAUCAAUGGAGACCUUUUAUGUGUUGCAGUCUACGUUGACGAUCUUUUUGUUACAGGAACAAACAUGAGGGUUAUAGACAACUUCAAACAAGAGAUGGCAACCAAGUUUGAGAUGAGUGACCUAGGGAAAUUAAGCUACUAUCUUGGGAUCGAAGUAAACCAACAUGAAGAUGGGAUUACUCUAAAUCAAAGCCGGUACGCAUUAAAGAUAUUGGAGGAGGCUGGCAUGAGCGACUGCAACGCAGUACAAAUACCUAUGGAUUCAGGUCUUAAGCUAUCAAAGUCAGAAGGAGAAAGAGAGAUAGAUGCGACAAACUACAGAAAGACCAUUGGAUGUUUUCGUUAUCUUCUUCAUACAAGACCAGACCUGUCCUACUGCAUUGGAGUCUUAAGCCGUUAUAUGCAAAGCCCCAGAGAGUCACACGGUAUUGCAAUGAAACAGUGCUUGAGAUAUUUGAAAGGCAGUACUUCGUAUGGCUUAACCUUUGAUCGUUCAACAUCAAACAUGAAGAAACUGGUUGGCUACAGUGAUAGUAGCCAUAACACUGAUCUUGAUGAUGGGAGAAGCACAACUGGCCACAUAUUCUACCUUGGUGAAAGCCCCAUCACGUGGUGCUCACAGAAACAAGACACGGUGGCAUUAUCUUCUUGUGAGGCCGAGUUUAUGGCUGGAACAGAGGCGGCAAGGCAGGCGAUUUGGCUUCAAGACUUGCUCAGUGAGAUCGUUGGAACAUCAUGUGAAAGAGUAGUCAUACGAAUAGAUAAUCAGUCAGCAAUAGCUCUUACUAAGAACCCGGUCUUCCAUGGUCGCAGUAAACAUAUACGCUCAAGAUAUCACUUCAUCAGAGAGUGUGUGGAGAAAGGAUUGAUUGAAGUUGAACAUGUUCCCGGAACGCAGCAGAAGGCGGACAUAUUGACUAAAGCUCUAGGGAGAGUUAAGUACAGAGAAAUGAGAGAGCUGAUCGGCAUGCAGGAUGUGGUGAAAGUGAACUUCAAGCUUAAGGGGGAGACUGUUGAGAUAAGCUUGAAAGAAGCUUAAGCUAGAAGUAAUCCUAUUCCUAUUUAUGAUAAGAUAACUUAGAGAUAAACAUGGAGUGUUUAGGAAGUUAUCUAAUAAGUGAGUUAUAUUAGGUUUAGGAUUACAUAUUCAUAUAUAUACAUGUCGUGUGUGACAUUGAGAGAUUGAGAGUGAUUUGUGAUUGUGAGAGCUUAAGUUUUUGAGCUAGUUUUCUUAAGCUAAUAAGAAGAGAUAUAUUCUUAUAAUCUUGUGAGUUCUUUACAAACGCUUUACAACAAUAGAGACUUCUGUACAAGCAUUAGUUGAAGGAACAAUAGGGUUUCUAGCUCCAGAAUCAGUAGUCACAGAAAGAUUCAACGAGCAGACGGAUGUUUUCGCCUUUGGUGCUACAUUAAUCGAGAUUUUGACUGGAAGGGAGCCUCAUAAUGUGUUUAUUGGAGCAUCUGAUUAUAUGACUAACCAUGACACUACUCCAGUUGCAGAGUCAUCUCUCAUAUCUGUCUCUUCGCCUAAAAGAAGAGAUCUUUUGAUGUUCUUGAAGGCCAUUCUGAUAAAAGAUGGGAAGGAUAAUGCAUUAGAGGCCAGCGCAGAGCUUGCUGCUAGCUGUGUGGAGAUAUUGCCAGAGAAGAGGCCAACGUUUGAAGAAGUAGCUAAGAAGCUGAAACACAUUCAGAACAUGUAAAGUAAGACAUUGUUUUUUUUUUUGGUGUGUCUAAAAUAAAGAAACGGGGUGAAAGUCCUAUUAUGUAGAGUUCAGUGGUGAAAAAAAUGGAAAAUAGUAUAUACUCCUUCCGUUUCAAAAAGUUACAUAUUCUAAAAAGAAAAUUUGUUCAAAAAGAUGCAUUUUUUUUCAUAUUUCGAGUGCAUUUUUGUCAACUAAUAAUGAAAAAUUAUGAACUUCAAGAACGUUAAUUGCAUUUCUUGAAGUUUUAUUGGUUUAGAAAUAUAUGAUAUAAAAUUACAAAAAACUAUGCAUUAACAACUAAGUUUUAUGAUGUUUUAUUAAUAAGUGUGAAAAUCCUAAAACAUGUAUUAUUUUGAAACAAAGAGAGUAUUUUACAACAAUUCUACCGAAGUAAACAAAAAUAUUUUGAUCGCCUCGCUGAACUGGCCCUACGGUUUCGGAUACUUCGUUUCAUUCGAGCUAUGUAUUAUUGGUUUGGGUGAGUUAUAUUCGGAGUAGCGGUCCUGGAAGGAAGCGGGGGAAGCACUUGAUUCUGGCUUUCCCAAAAUAAAUAAAAUAUCGACCUUUAUUUUCUUAAAAUCUUCAUUAGUCUAGGUGGCAAAGCAAGCAUAGUAUGUGUAUUUCUGAUCUUCGGUAAAUAGCUUUGUAACAAUCUUUUUUCCUAUUCUGGCCCAAUUAUUUUAUAAAGCUUCCGAUCCAAAUGUUUUUUACUAGUUUGAUGGUCGGGCCUGGUUCUGUUCAACAACAAUUCUACCAAAGUAAUCUGAAAAAUGUGAUUCAAUUUGAUGUUUAGUUUAAUUCGGCUUUCUAAAUUUCCGAAAUAACCAAAUUUAUGGGUUUCAGCUAUAUUUCAAUGUAUUUUCCAAAAAAAAACUCAAAAUAUUUUGGUUAAAUUUGGUUAUUUUAAUUAGUUCAGUUGUUUUGAUUAAUUUCAGAUAUUUCAAAUACUAUUAACUUUUAUAAUUUUGAAAACUGAAUCAAAACCUAAAACAAAAAAGUUCUGUUCGGUUCAAUCUGCACGCUUACAGAGAACUAUGGUAAACAUGUUACAAGUUUAUAGUUCAUUACCUAAAUUGUUCAAAACAGAGAUUUAGGGGGCUAUUAAUAAAAAGUAAAAGUAUAUGGUUUAACUAGUUACAAAGCAUAGAAAUAGAUUGAAGACUUUAUAAAGCAAAAGUUGAGGCGUUACAAUGCAAUAAACAGCAAAUUGUUAAACAAAAAGGAGUAUUUGUUGCUGUAACGAAAAAAAAAAGUGAAACUCGCCGGAAAACAAAGUAUGAACGUUUACGACGACGAGUCACUGAAGCAGGAGGUAAUCUACCUCCACUCCCUCUGGCACCAAGGCCCUCCCACCCGAAACCCGAUCCACGACCCGGUUCAGAGAUCCAGGCCCAAUUACAUCCCUCCGGCGGAUUUUCAGCUUCUCUCUCGCUACGGAGCCAACCCUAUUCACCCCCAACCUCCCCUCAGCAACAAGCGCUCCAGACCCGGGUCUGAUCGUGAAUGGCCCGUGAAGGAGCUCCCCCGUUAUCCCCCCACGGGCUGGCCCGAAGCCAAGCCGUGCAAAAAGGCUCGACCUUUAUCAGAUUCGGAGAAAGCGAAGCUCGCCGUGAGUCAGAUUCAGAGAGACACCCACCGCGCUUGCCGCGAGUUUUUCGGCAAGAGAGCAGCAACAUCUGGUGAAGAAUCGGAUGCUGAUGAUGGAGG